UUUUUCAGUUCAUAAGCAUGAUGACUGGGUAUUCAUGUCAUCUAAACCUUGUUAUGAUGUUAGCACAUGACCCAGCUG
RNAcentral lists this small nucleolar RNA (78 nucleotides) under Marmota monax (woodchuck). Lineage: Eukaryota; Metazoa; Chordata; Mammalia; Rodentia; Sciuridae. The record is from RNAcentral.